UACGAAGGGGGCUAGCGUUGCUCGGAAUGACUGGGCGUAAAGGGCGCGUAGGCGGAUGGUACAGUCAGAUGUGAAAUUCCUGGGCUCAACCUGGGGGCUGCAUUUGAUACGUAUCGUCUUGAGUUCGGAAGAGGGUCGUGGAAUUCCCAGUGUAGAGGUGAAAUUCGUAGAUAUUGGGAAGAACACCGGUGGCGAAGGCGGCGACCUGGUCCGAUACUGACGCUGAGGCGCGAAAGCGUGGGGAGCAAACAGG
Molecule: ribosomal RNA, 253 nt
Filed under: uncultured bacterium
Lineage: Bacteria
Description: partial 16S ribosomal RNA
Rfam family: Bacterial small subunit ribosomal RNA
Source: RNAcentral